RNAcentral lists this ribosomal RNA (253 nucleotides) under uncultured bacterium. RNAcentral's name for it is "partial 16S ribosomal RNA". It matches the Rfam family "Bacterial small subunit ribosomal RNA", at positions 524 to 776 of the family's 1533-position model. The record is from RNAcentral.
UACGAAGGGGGCUAGCGUUGUUCGGAAUUACUGGGCGUAAAGCGCACGUAGGCGGAUACUUAAGUCAGGGGUGAAAUCCCGGGGCUCAACCCCGGAACUGCCUUUGAUACUGGGUAUCUCGAGUCCGGAAGAGGUGAGUGGAAUUCCGAGUGUAGAGGUGAAAUUCGUAGAUAUUCGGAGGAACACCAAUGGCGAAGGCAGCUCGCUGGGACGGUACUGACGCUGAGACGCGAAAGCGUGGGGAGCAAACAGG